This 490-nucleotide ribosomal RNA is filed under the name uncultured bacterium. RNAcentral describes it as "partial 16S ribosomal RNA". It matches the Rfam family "Bacterial small subunit ribosomal RNA", at positions 30 to 507 of the family's 1533-position model. The record is from RNAcentral.
AUUGAACGCUGGCGGCAGGCCUAACGCAUGCAAGUCGAACGGUAACAGGAAACAGCUUGCUGUUUCGCUGACGAGUGGCGGACGGGUGAGUAAUGUCUGGGAAACUGCCUGAUGGAGGGGGAUAACUACUGGAAACGGUAGCUAAUACCGCAUAACGUCGCAAGACCAAAGAGGGGGACCUUCGGGCCUCUUGCCAUCGGAUGUGCCCAGAUGGGAUUAGCUAGUAGGUGGGGUAACGGCUCACCUAGGCGACGAUCCCUAGCUGGUCUGAGAGGAUGACCAGCCACACUGGAACUGAGACACGGUCCAGACUCCUACGGGAGGCAGCAGUGGGGAAUAUUGCACAAUGGGCGCAAGCCUGAUGCAGCCAUGCCGCGUGUAUGAAGAAGGCCUUCGGGUUGUAAAGUACUUUCAGCGGGGAGGAAGGGAGUAAAGUUAAUACCUUUGCUCAUUGACGUUACCCGCAGAAGAAGCACCGGCUAACUCCGUG